Molecule: long non-coding RNA, 2098 nt
Filed under: Spirodela polyrhiza (greater duckweed)
Lineage: Eukaryota; Viridiplantae; Streptophyta; Magnoliopsida; Alismatales; Araceae
Description: long non-coding RNA (SPOL_LNC001576)
Source: RNAcentral
CUCUCUCUCUCUCUCUCUCUCUCUCUAGAGCAAUGGAUUCUCUCUCUUGAUGGGGAUGGGGCUGCCCUCCUUGGGAAGGAGGUGUGAAUCCGAUGACGUGGGAUGAGAUACGCUGAUCCCAGAGCGUGUGUGCUUGUCGUGUCUGUGGAAUGGAGCGUGGGAUGCGAUCUGCCUCACUCCAGCUCACUAGCUAGGCCGCGUAUCUUUAUCGUCUAAAUUAAUGGGAAUUUAUUAUUCUCCUAUAAAUUAAUUAAUCGGAUUUUGUUUGGGAGAGGCCCAAUAAAGGCCCGUGAUGGUGGAAUGGGCCGAUGGUGAAGGAUCGUACCCCAGGCCGAUAAAAAGGAAGAACCCUAAUCCCUGCAACGGCACGCUACUUGAUCUUAUCUGAGCGGCGGAGGUGGGGCGCUCGUCCGGCGGUGGAGCGGCGCCGGCGGCCGAGCAGGGGCGCUGCCCCCGUGCGGUGGCUCCGUGUGCCGCCGCCCGGAGGCUGGCGGCGCCGCUGCGGAGCUCCGGCGUCGGGCCGUUUCUUGCCGGAGAGGAUGCCCGCCCUCGCCUGCGAUGAAGACUGCCCGCGGGCGGAGCCCUCAUCUGCAGGGCCGUGACGUCCGCGCGGGCUCCUCCCCCAUCCCCAACCUAAUCGAUCGCAGAUUUUCAGAGUUUUCGCAGAUUUCGAUUCGAUCCUGCGUUGCGUUGCCUGUGGACCAUUUUCCGUUCCGGUUUUUCCUCCCCGUUUCGAUCGCCGCGUACCAGGUCCAUCCCUGCCCUAGCCGCCUAUUUAGGCAUCGCAGGGACGAUCUCUUCGAUCGCGGUUGUCGAUCAAUGCGCUGAAUGCCUGCACCAUUCAUCCGGUUCUUAUUUUGAUUCCGAUUUCUCGUCGUCGAUCGUCUCCUCUGUUCUCAUCCGAGGGGCCGAUCUCUUGAUCUCCAUUUUCAUGAGAGGAAGGGGCGGAGCCGCUCCAUUCCACUACGCUCGUUCUUCUCCUGUUUUUCCUCGUGCGUCAGGAGGCAAGCGAAGAAGAUUCCCAGGCUUUCUCUGCCAGAGAGCUCCCCGGUAACAGAAGAUCGCUCUUCCGAACCCUCGACGGCGUCUUUUUCUCUCUCAAGACCAGAAACGAAGCUGCAGCUGCGCUCCGGUAUGAGAAAUCUGUCGGCCAUUCCAAGAUUUUCACUGCCGUCAUCUCCUGCUGCUACCGAAGGGAGGAGCGGAUUACAGAUGCCCCUCCACCUCCCCUUCCUCCUGCUGCUCUCAGUUUCUCCGAUCACAGAGCUCUCUAGAUUUCUCUGCGCCACGUUGAAUCUAGUACAUUUGCAAGAAAAAAUCAAGCGAAUAUUAGAUUAUUUUCUCUCUUUUCUUGGUUUAAUUCUUCAACAAAUGGCGCAUUUAUUGAUGUUCUUAUCAUUCUGCAUUUAACGUGUGAAACAUGGUCAAGACCCAGUUCAAUCUGCAUUUAAAGCACAAUCGUAGGUAAAUGGUUCAUAAGUAUUUCAUGGGCUGCUUAUAUGAAUUUGAUAUGAAGACAUUAUUUUCUGAGUUUCAUGAGAAGAUCAUACAUGGCCAACUUUGGGGAAAAUUAUUAUAUGUUAUUUCAGAUAAAUGUUGGCCUUUUUAGUGACGGGCGUGCAGAUUUGUCAUUUUUUUGGUUACACAACAGCACGGAAAAUAAAAAUUGAAUGAGAUUAAACAAGUAAAAGAGUAAUCGAAUUUAAAUUAUUGUUAUGACACCAAUAAGUUAUUCAAAUAUUACAGUUUCAAUGACCCAACAGCAGGUUGAAUUAUAAAUAAUUUAUUUACUUGGUAACCCACGUCGUUAAAAUUCUGCUUAACAUGAGAUUAUCUGAACAAUACAUUAUAUAUUUAUUUAAAGUGAAAUCCAGAAUUAAAAUGUGGUACAUAAUCGGCACAAAUCAGUUCCAUAAUUUACAUAAUUAUAAUACUAUCAAACGAUGCGGUAUAUAUUUAUUUAUUUAAGAUGAAUCUAGUGUAUGUGGAGCAUUGUCUGUAGAAUAAAAUUCAUAAUUAAGAUAAUUAAAAUAAUAUAAAAACGAUACCGUAUAUACUUGUUUAUUUGAAAUGAAUCUAGUGUGUUGGGAACAUUGUC